UUCAUCUCUGUUAAUUUCAGGCCUGCAACAAAAGUGUUCCAUUCGAAAACAGCAUUAACAAUGAAGAAAAGAAAACAUCACUCCUCAUGCAAAAUAACUACGGAAUAUGGAAAGCUGAUUAUUAGUAGCUGACUAUGUCCCUCUACCAGUGUUUUCAAGACUAGACUCGGCUUGACCACCCCACCACCAACGAUUCUAAAAAGUGUUUCAAUGAACUUGGUAACGGAUCAAGUGGGGGUGUUGUGUGUUCUGUUCUCCGCAUAAAUUUCUCGAACACGACGAGAUCUAAAGCUCUUUCGAUGCAAAUGUGAAAAAAGAAGACAAAACUAAAAGUCAUGUCCUCGUGUGGGAGCAUGAAAGCUUGGGGAGAGGUGCUGUGGCUUUGAAUCAGUUUCGUUCAUUAUCUUGAGCAGAUGAAUUCAGAGUUACAGAAAUAUCAGACCAAAAGCUUCAGAAGUUUAAACAAAUACAAACAUGCAUGCAAAACAGACUAAAAAAAAGAUAGAAAAUAACAAAAGGGUGAUGAAGAAGGGAGAAGGCGGCAUGGACGCCACAUGUUUUAUUUUGGUCAUAAGUUGCAAGCAUCAUGCAUGCCACUUGUACUCAUUCCUCGCUUCAGUUUUCACAGUAUUAUCAGCCGUUUCGAUUUCAAAACAGCAGUAUAUGGUAACAGGAAGAAGAAGAUUAAAGAAAAAAGGAGAGAGAGAGAGAGAGAGAGCUAAAAUGAGUUUAUGAAUGAGUUUAAGUGAUCAUAAGAAUAAACCUAACAAGUUUUAUAGAUUUAGGUAGACAAAAUCAAUUCGAUCUUGAUUAGUGUCCAAUAAUUUAUUAUAUUUGACUGGAUUUCUCUUUUGAAAUCUAA
Molecule: long non-coding RNA, 862 nt
Organism: Mangifera indica (mango)
Lineage: Eukaryota; Viridiplantae; Streptophyta; Magnoliopsida; Sapindales; Anacardiaceae
Exons: 2
Source: RefSeq, a predicted model, not a curated record